RNAcentral lists this long non-coding RNA (717 nucleotides) under Citrus maxima (pomelo). Its description in RNAcentral is "long non-coding RNA (CMAX_LNC002179)". Lineage: Eukaryota; Viridiplantae; Streptophyta; Magnoliopsida; Sapindales; Rutaceae. The record is from RNAcentral.
UUUAGAAUAGCAUGCCCUAGGUAACCACCUAAGUUGCCUAGACGUCGCUUUGGGUCUGGGAGGCUUCUCCAGAUGCACGUACAACAAGUAGGCUUGCUCUUUUAUGAACAAAAUUAAUUUUGUUUCAAUUUUCCUUUUCAUGUCCACUCAGAUUUGAGUCAAUUUUAUAAAUAAAGUUCUGUAUCAUGGUGCUGCAAGUUUAUAACGUGAGGCAUCUAUUUGUCCUUCGUCCAUCGUAUCUGGUUCUGUUCUCCAGACUUCAAUGUAGUCGCGCUGCUGGAGAUAAAGAUGUAUUACAAGAGCAGUGAGGUUUGAAUUCCUCUGAAAAACAGCAACUCACGUAAAGACGAUUGGAUCGAUCGGCGACGAAUUGAUUGAUCGGUGAUGGCUGCUUGACCACUGUUGGGUGUCGGUUCGGUUGUUGCUAUAAGCAAUGCUCGGCGUAUGCGGUUGCUUGUUUAAUUUACUAGAUUGCUGCGAUUUGUAAGGGUGCAUUUGGUAACGUUUUCUUGAUGGGUGUUUUUUUGUUUUUUGGAAAUGAAAAAGAAAAAAUAUGUUUGGUUAAGCUAUUUUUUUGAUAAAGAGUAAAAAAAUGAGAACAAAAUAUUUUCAUUUUCUAACUUUUGUAAAGAAAACUCAAGAACGCUAAAUUUGCGUUCUUGAGUUGCUGGAGAACAACAUAAAAAAAGACGAGAUAAAAAGUUAUUCUGAACCCAC